AUGAUGCGGGAGGAGAUGGCGAUGUGCAAGAUCAGAGACGUCAGUGAGCUAUAUGCCCUGGCCGACAAGUGUGCACGUGCUGAGGAAGGGAGGAAACUCCCGGGAGAGAAUAUAGGAGCAGGAGGAUCUGAUAGUGAGGAGACUGCCCCGGCAAAGAAAAACCGGCGGCGGAACAACAGGAAGAAGAAAGGCAAAGAUGUGCUAGUCAUUGAGCAGUCCGGCAACGGAGGUGGCGCCAAGAAAGCCAAAGCUGGUAGCUCCGGCGAGGAGGCUGUGGCGGUCGCCGACAAGCAGGACGGCACCAACAAGCAGUACUACAAGAUCCAUCGUACCAAGGGCCAUGACCUCCAGAGCUGCAAGUAG
RNAcentral lists this ribosomal RNA (363 nucleotides) under Triticum aestivum (bread wheat). RNAcentral's name for it is "partial small subunit ribosomal RNA". Lineage: Eukaryota; Viridiplantae; Streptophyta; Magnoliopsida; Poales; Poaceae. The record is from RNAcentral.